Molecule: non-coding RNA, 645 nt
Filed under: Streptomyces afghaniensis 772
Lineage: Bacteria; Bacillati; Actinomycetota; Actinomycetes; Kitasatosporales; Streptomycetaceae
Description: Bacterial large subunit ribosomal RNA
Rfam family: Bacterial large subunit ribosomal RNA
Source: Rfam by way of RNAcentral
GGAUAGCUGGGAGACUGUGAAGCGCUAACGCCAGUUAGUGUGGAGUCGUCGUUGAAAUACCAGUCUGGUCGUGCUGGAUGUCUAACCUGGGUCCGCGAUCCGGAUCAGGGACAGUGUCUGAUGGGUAGUUUAACUGGGGCGGUUGCCUCCUAAAGAGUAACGGAGGCGCCCAAAGGUUCCCUCAGCCUGGUUGGCAAUCAGGUGUUGAGUGUAAGUGCACAAGGGAGCUUGACUGUGAGACCGACGGGUCGAGCAGGGACGAAAGUCGGGACUAGUGAUCCGGCGGUGGCUUGUGGAAGCGCCGUCGCUCAACGGAUAAAAGGUACCCCGGGGAGUAACAGGCUGAUCUUCCCCAAGAGUCCAUAUCGACGGGAUGGUUUGGCACCUCGAUGUCGGCUCGUCGCAUCCUGGGGCUGGAGUCGGUCCCAAGGGUUGGGCUGUUCGCCCAUUAAAGCGGUACGCGAGCUGGGUUUAGAACGUCGUGAGACAGUUCGGUCCCUAUCCGCUGUGCGCGUAGGAGUCUUGAGAAGGGCUGUCCCUAGUACGAGAGGACCGGGACGGACGAACCUCUGGUGUGCCAGUUGUUCUGCCAAGGGCAUGGCUGGUUGGCUACGUUCGGGAGGGAUAACCGCUGAAAGCAUCUAA